UAAAAAAUGAAAUCCAAAAUUUCUAACAACAAAAUUUGAAAGUUCAAAGUCAAGUUAAAGGAGAGGAUACCUAAAAAUGGCGAGGCGUUUUCAUCGGGGAGACGUCGGAAUCAUUAAAUCACAAGGAUAAUCCCCGUGUCACCAGACGGCCGAGUGUUGCCAACUGCUUCUUCCUGGUCCAACACAAAUGUUUGCCCAAUAAAUAUGCUCCGGGGCCGGAUGAGGCUCAUAGAUUUAUGCACUGGCUGGGUAUCGGGGAGGAAGCAGAGUUUUGACUUCUAACCCGGGCUUCUGAUAUCGUCGAAAGUACUAAUUUACGACUGAAACAGCCCUUUUUCAAACGUUUCUGACACAGAUGGUGAUGCCUAUGAACCAUUAGGGUAUAACCUGGAAAUAAAUACAUAUUAAGAGCUAUAGUAACGGACUGCGGAGCGUUGAAACUUGGACGAUCAGAAAGGCGGACAAAGUACGAUCCGGAAAGCGGAAGCUGCUGGAACAGUGAGCGGUGGAGUGGCUCAAGUAGCAAACGGGGUGAAGUCACUUGUCAAGUUUCUGCGUGGUGAGAGGUUCGUCGCUCGGUCAAAUAAAGUAAGUUAUCUCUUUUGAUCAGCUCGUUUUGGGUGGCUAAAACACAAUUCGACUCUCAACGUAAACACGUCAACGGAAUUUGAUUCAAUCGUCGUAAUUGCCACAAUAACGACUCGAUUGUUACCUGGGUCUCCAGCUAAAGAAACGUGUCGCCGUCGACGGGAGGCCAGUUUCAAACGGCGCUUUUGAGGUUUGAGAAGGACAACGGACGACAACAAAACGAAUCCAUUGUGGCCGGAUUGACUUGUUUCCUUGGGCCAACUGCGGAAACGCAACAGUUACGGCAUUGAUGACACCCCGGACAAUGAGCCCGUGCUCCUGCGACACCUGGAACCUGCCCGGAUGACACACCUGCCUGGAAAAACCGAUGAACGAGUCAGAUGGAAGAACCUGAAAAGGGGGAUCUGACCAAAAUUAAACUGAGUUUGGCCUGCUACAGCGGCGAAAAUGGUGCAACUUUUCCAGUAUAUCUAAUCUAGUAAAUCCAAUCAACCAAUACGUAAGUAUAAGAGGGAUCUGAUAUAAAAGACAUGCGAGAAAUAUUUUUCUUAUGUGUCAACUUAGCGACCUUUUCCACAUUUAUCAACUUUAAUUAUUUUUUAUCAAGUUACUCCAUUAAUUAUAAACAAUUUUGGUGUGA
Long non-coding RNA from Cimex lectularius (bed bug), 1228 nucleotides. RefSeq lists it as uncharacterized. The record is from RefSeq and is a predicted model, not a curated record. Lineage: Eukaryota; Metazoa; Arthropoda; Insecta; Hemiptera; Cimicidae. The transcript is spliced from 5 exons.